This 240-nucleotide long non-coding RNA is filed under the name Lathyrus oleraceus (garden pea). RNAcentral's name for it is "Pisum sativum (pea) long non-coding RNA (PSAT_LNC029569)". Lineage: Eukaryota; Viridiplantae; Streptophyta; Magnoliopsida; Fabales; Fabaceae. The record is from RNAcentral.
GGAACUUCUGUUACGAUCUUGUUCUUUGGUUCUGCAAUUUUUUUGCUGAGUUAUGAGGAAUAAAGAAAUGGCUUUCAUGCCAAAAAUGGAUCUAUCCCAAUGAUACGUGAUAAUGUUGUAUUUAUAGCACUUAAAAUUAUAUUUUGAAAUUUAAAUGAAACUCACCUGAAAUGCAUUGGUUAGUUACAAAUGAAAAAAUCAGUUAGAAAAUGAAACUGUUAGUUUUGAAAUGAAGAGGGA